GGCUGCGUUACCACCGACCAGUCCUCAGCCGGCAACAUGAAGCUGGGUGGCCUCUGCCUCCUGCUCCUCCUCGCCGUCCUUCUCACCCUCAAUGCAGAGUUCCAAGCAGUUGAUGUAGGUAUCUGUGUGACGGAGUGCAAGGUAGACCAGGACUGUGGGGCAGGAAGACGAUGCACCAGCAAUGGAUGUGGCCGGGUCUGCUCCCCAGUCCGGCGAAGAGAGGCCUGCGAGCACCAGUGCAGAGAAGACAGGGACUGUGGGAGUGGACAUCAGUGCGUGAGGAAGGGCUGUGGGCACGUCUGCGCCCCCGUCCAUCAAGUCGAUGUAGGUAUCUGUGUGACGGAGUGCAAGGUAGACCAGGACUGUGGGGCAGGAAGACGAUGCACCAGCAAUGAAUGUGGCCGGGUCUGCUCCCCAAUCCAGCGAAGAGAGGCCUGCGAGCACCAGUGCAGAGAAGACAGGGACUGUGGGAGUGGACAUCAGUGCGUGAGGAAGGGCUGUGGGCACGUCUGCGCCCCCGUCCAUCAAGUCGAUGUAGGUAUCUGUGUGACGGAGUGCCGUGUAGACCAGGACUGUGGGGAAGGAAGACAAUGCACCAGCAAUGGAUGUGGCCGUGUCUGCUCCCCAGCCCAGCAAAGAGAGGCCUGCGAGCACCAAUGCAGAGAAGACAAGGACUGUGGGAGUGGACAUCAGUGCGUGAGGAAGGGCUGUGGGCACGUCUGCUCCCCCAUCCCUCAAGUAGGUAUCUGUGUGACGGAGUGCAAUGUAGACCAGGACUGUGGGGCAGGAAGACGAUGCACCAGCAAUGGAUGUGGCCGUGUCUGCUCCCCACCCCAGGGAGGAGGACUCUGUGUGGACCGCUGCCGAGGAAACUGGGACUGUGGGGCCGGAGAAGAAUGUAUCAGGAAGGGAUGUGGACGGGUCUGCUCUCCAGCCCAGGAGCCAGUGGUAGGUAUCUGUGUGGAUCAGUGCCAAAGACACUGGGAAUGUGGUCCACGGAUGCGGUGUGUCUCCACUGGAUGUGGCCACAUCUGCUCACCAGCCCAAGACCAAGGUAAGAGGUGCAAGCCUUGCCUUCCAAGCCCCUGACUGACUGAAUGCUUGGCUCUG
RNAcentral lists this long non-coding RNA (1110 nucleotides) under Sus scrofa (pig). Its description in RNAcentral is "lncRNA (ENSSSCG00025021240.1)". Lineage: Eukaryota; Metazoa; Chordata; Mammalia; Artiodactyla; Suidae. The record is from RNAcentral.